UAGCAAUGAAGAGGUGGCAUUAAACAGC
Molecule: non-coding RNA, 28 nt
Filed under: Mus musculus (house mouse)
Lineage: Eukaryota; Metazoa; Chordata; Mammalia; Rodentia; Muridae
Source: RNAcentral